This 95-nucleotide transfer RNA is filed under the name Mycolicibacterium mageritense. RNAcentral's name for it is "tRNA-Pro". Lineage: Bacteria; Bacillati; Actinomycetota; Actinomycetes; Mycobacteriales; Mycobacteriaceae. The record is from RNAcentral.
GCGCUGUGAGGGCGCCGGAUCUGGAGCGGCUCACCGGGGUUCGGUCCGGAAAGCCCACGUUCUACCCCGAGUUCCGCGUCGCGGCGCAGCGCACC